GAGCUGUUGACUCUGUCUGCCAGUUUCACAGAAUCCACAAUCAACUUGUUGACAUUACUUUUCUGCAGAUGGCCAAUAAAAUGCCACUUGAUCUCUGGACAAGAUGACAGAAUUCUGGAGUCUGACGCCUUUUCUAGCAGCUCUUGAACGUAGUUCUCCCCGAAGCUGCGCUGCCCGUGGCUGUAGGCGUCCAGCACCAUCUCCGCGGGCUUCGUCUUGCUGACGGCCACCAGGCGCGGCUGCAUGUCCGGGAGUCCCUUCGGCCUCCGCGCUGCCGCCUGCUGCACCUGCUCGGUGACGGCGCGCAGCGCCGGGCCCAGCCCUUCCCCGGCGGCCAUGCCCGCUCUCCACAUCCCCGGCCGCCGCCGCGCCGACUUCCGCCACACACACACGGCGCUCCGCCCCCACCCGGCGGCCAAUCGCGACGCGCGAUCGCAUCCGGAGACCAAUGGUUGCGAGGGGCGGGAGAGCUGGGGCGCCAUGUUGGGAAGGUCGGCGGCGCCAUAUUGGGAGGGUCGGGGUCUUCAUGGCGGAGAGCGCUGAGGGGAAGGUCAGGCGGUGAGGCUGGGUGCCCGCAGCUCCCCAGGGCUUUAGUGGCAUUCUGCCGGGCUCUGGUGAAGUUUCCUGUCACUGAAGGUAGUGAGAAAGACGCAGGAUCGAGGCCCGUGCUUCCAGUGUGGUGUCUGCACAUACCCUCACACUGUAGCAGUCCACCCACAAAUAAAACAAAUUGUUGCCAUCCGCAUCCAGAACAGAUCCUCCAGGGCCAGCUUUCAGCAUCAAAAUAAGAUAAUAAACCAUAAAACAGGCCCCACCAUUCGCCCCAUAGGCCCCGUGUAAGCCCAGGGCUGUGCUAUGGAAGCACCACAGCAGAGCCCACAGCUGCGGGGCACACACAGGCAGUGCCAGCUGGAAGACAUCAGCCAAAAUGUUUCCCCAAGGCACAGAAGUUGCCCUCCCCCCACCCCCCGUUUUGAGCACCAACAGUAUUUGCACAGCUGUUCCGAAGAGCCUGGCAGGGAUUUCCUGCUAACUUCACUGCAAAACUUUUGUGGUGGUGGAGCUCCGCAGCUCCGUGCCCUCCCACAGAGAUACCCCUGGGGAUGCCUCCCUGCA
Molecule: long non-coding RNA, 1116 nt
Filed under: Gallus gallus (chicken)
Lineage: Eukaryota; Metazoa; Chordata; Aves; Galliformes; Phasianidae
Source: RNAcentral